Molecule: non-coding RNA, 337 nt
Organism: Erythranthe guttata (spotted monkey flower)
Lineage: Eukaryota; Viridiplantae; Streptophyta; Magnoliopsida; Lamiales; Phrymaceae
Source: RefSeq, a predicted model, not a curated record
GUUCCGUUCAAGGGAUUUCGGACAUAACAAUGGGAGAAAAACUAUUGCACCAGUUUUAUAUAAAACUGCCGGUGCAGCCAAUGGUAUUUUCGAUUAGCUUCAGGAAAGAUAACGAGCCAUUCAAGACUGCGAAUGAGAAUGGGCAACAAAAUUCCUUUGUCGCCGGCAACUAACUAUUAUGAAGAUGAAUGAGGAAAUUGAAGAUCAAUUGAUCUUGUAUUUGUAAUGCUACAAGCCUACAACAUUAACUUUUUUUGUACUUUAAUUUCAUAUUUGGAUAAUUUAUUUUUAUCGUUGGAUGAUUUUAACUUAAUGAUAUAAAAUUUGAGUUGUUUAA